AGGCAUCCCCAUUACCUAUGGACACGGUGCCGCAGACCCCCGGGGUUGUUCUGCCCUUGAACGGUCUGUAACGGGUUUUCCGUGUCCAG
Regulatory RNA element from Prosthecochloris sp. CIB 2401, 89 nucleotides. It matches the Rfam family "SAM-Chlorobi RNA". The record is from Rfam. Lineage: Bacteria; Pseudomonadati; Chlorobiota; Chlorobiia; Chlorobiales; Chlorobiaceae.